UGUUCCGGGGUAUCCCCGGAGCGGCCGUGGUGGCCACAAUUGGAAUCUGAGCCGCCAUCCCUACGUCUGAGUCUUCUUCCCUUCCCCCCACCCCCCUUGCUUUCUCUGCAAAGGUCCUCGGACUUCCGGCUCGAGACAGCCCAGUGAAAUGUCCCUACAAGGAGGUGCUCACAGCAGCCCGUUUCUUCCAUCCCAGAUCUUCCUAUACCACGUGAGUUAAAGCUCUCAAGAUUCACAUCUUAGAUCCACCUCACUCUAAAAGGCACAGCUGUCACAAGUUCAGAAGUGACACACCUUCUUAAAACCAUGCCAGGUAUGCAGGAGGAAUGGUCACCCCGAGGGGUGGACUAACCCAGCCAACGCAGCUCCCCAUUAUCUGAAGCAGCUAACAGGACCAGUGUUUGUUCCCAGACCUGGAAUAUAAUGGUUCGUGAUUUCUCAAUUGAAGGUUUGUCUCCUUCAAAGACCUGACCGGGGACUAUUUCUGAGAACAAUGGAAAUCUCACUCCCACCUGCCCAGGUUCACAGCCGGGCACUAAUAAAUGAACACAUGCCUUAAUGAUGACCCAGUGCCAUCAUCCUUAGCCCUCAGCCCUCCUUGCCUCUUCCCUGUGGCUGACCACACCAGCUGGCUUUGUUACCACUGAGUCCUCCCCACCUGGUGAGUUAUGGGCAGACUGUGAAAUAGCAGCUCUGCCCUUCCUCUUCCCAUUCUCAACUUUCCCCCCUGUGUGCUUCCUCGGGUAAAGUUGCCUCAUUCUUUCAUGAAAUUUCUUCCCCCAGCCCCUGCUACAGGAUAUGCAUGCAAUCAA
Long non-coding RNA from Pipistrellus kuhlii (Kuhl's pipistrelle), 812 nucleotides. RefSeq lists it as uncharacterized. The transcript has 3 exons. The record is from RefSeq and is a predicted model, not a curated record. Lineage: Eukaryota; Metazoa; Chordata; Mammalia; Chiroptera; Vespertilionidae.